CUACGGGCUGCAGCAGUGAGGAAUAUUGCACAAUGGGGGGAACCCUGAUGCAGCAACGCCGCGUGGAGGAUGACGCAUUUCGGUGUGUAAGCUCCUUUUAUACGUCAAGAAAAUGACGGUAGCAUAUGAAUAAGCACCGGCUAACUCCGUGCCAGCAGCCGCGGUAAUACGGAGGGUGCAAGCGUUACUCGGAAUCACUGGGCGUAAAGGACGCGUAGGCGGGUUGGAAAGUCAGGUGUGAAAUCCUACAGCUUAACUGUAGAACUGCACUUGAAACUUCUAAUCUAGAGUAUGGGAGGGGGAGAUGGAAUUAGUGGUGUAGGGGUAAAAUCCGUAGAUAUCACUAGGAAUACCUAAAGCGAAGGCGAUCUCCUGGAACAUAACUGACGCUAAGGCGUGAAAGCGUGGGGAGCAAACAGGAUUAGAUACCCCCGUAGUC
This 439-nucleotide ribosomal RNA is filed under the name uncultured bacterium. RNAcentral describes it as "partial 16S ribosomal RNA". It matches the Rfam family "Bacterial small subunit ribosomal RNA", at positions 339 to 795 of the family's 1533-position model. The record is from RNAcentral.